Brienomyrus brachyistius is the source of this 550-nucleotide long non-coding RNA. RefSeq lists it as uncharacterized. The record is from RefSeq and is a predicted model, not a curated record. NCBI's taxonomy places the organism in Eukaryota, Metazoa, Chordata, Actinopteri, Osteoglossiformes, Mormyridae. The transcript is spliced from 2 exons.
GCCAAGAUCGAAGAGCGACUACCAUAUCGGAGUAGUAUUAUUUUAAGCCAUACAAAUAAAGCAGGAGCCUUAAAGAGCAAUAGCAGACUGAGCUCAUCUCCAGGGAACAAUGAAUAUCUGCAGAUAUGCAGGUCCUUGGUCAUGGAAGUCUGCGCGUCUGGUGUUCGACCCUAUGCAGCGUCCCUGGUCCUGCCCCAUGUGCCCGUCCUCUCGUACGGUCCCUUGGAACCCCUCUCCGGCCAGCUUGGCACGCCCGGAGGGCGCACCUUUUGGGGUGGGGGGGCGGGGUGGGGUACUGUCACGUAUAGACCCGCCCUGUUUGUCUUUCCCUCGGGCGUGGCUCCAGCCAUACUGAGCCUUGUUAGUUUUCUCUUGUUCUUGCCCUCUUGUUAACCAGCCAUAGCUGCCUUGUGUUUGCCCCUUUGUUUAGCCCCAUAUGUUAACGUCUUUUAGUCCUCUGCUCCUUGUUUGGUCAAUGUUCUCUGUCUACAUGUCUUAUCAUGCCUGUUCUUUGCAAUAAACACCCCAUUGAGGGGUUUACCUUCCCAUA